GCCGAAGUGGUGGAAUUGGCAGACGCGCUCGACUCAAAAUCGAGUGUCCUACGGACAUGUGGGUUCGAGUCCCACCUUCGGCACCA
This 86-nucleotide transfer RNA is filed under the name Syntrophomonadaceae bacterium. RNAcentral's name for it is "tRNA-Leu". It matches the Rfam family "tRNA". From Rfam's summary of the family: Transfer RNA (tRNA) molecules are approximately 80 nucleotides in length. Their secondary structure includes four short double-helical elements and three loops (D, anti-codon, and T loops). The record is from RNAcentral. Lineage: Bacteria; Bacillati; Bacillota; Clostridia; Eubacteriales; Syntrophomonadaceae.